CUGCGCCAUACUACCAAGUCCCUGCCUGUGUGUGUAUCCUAUGAGCACAUCACGAAGAGAGAACUUGGGAACCUUCCAAACCAUUCCGGUUGUCUCUCGACAACGCUCUACGGUCACACGCAGACGGCAACGCAAUGUUGCUAACCUGCAUCCUAUCUCUACAUCCUCUACUGCACCUCUUUCUUUCUCUAUGGGUCUCUGGAAUUGUCAGUCAGCUGUCAACAAAGCAGACUUCAUUUCUUCUUUUUCUUUAAACUCCACACUUAGCAUCUUGGGCUUGACUGAGACCUGGAUUCGUCCAGAAGACUCAGCAACCCCAGCUGCUCUUUCGAACAAUUUCUCUUUCUCUCAUACCCCCCGUCAGGUUGGCCGGGGUGGGGGCACUGGUCUGCUCAUUUCUAACAAUUGGAAAUACUCAACCCACUCUCCCCUAUGCAAUUACAACUCAUUUGAAUCUCAUGUGAUCACUAUAACAGCUCCCGUAAAACUCCAGGUUGUGGUAAUUUACCGCCCUCCUGGGCAAAUUCUAUCCACCUUCCUAGAAGAGCUGGAUGGGCUGCUGUCCUCAUUCCCGGAGGAUGGCAGUCCACUUUUAGUCUUUGGCGACUUCAACAUUCAUCUGGACAAGCCUUAUGCUACAGACUUCCAUUCACUCCUUGCUUCAUUUGAUCUCAAACGACUUACCACCACAAGCACGCACAAAUCUGGCAACCAACUUGACUUAAUUUACACACGCAGUUGUACUGCAGACAAUAUUCUGGUCAAACCCCUACAUAUCUCUGAUCAUUUCUUCAUUACAUUUCAACUACAUUUUGCUACCUGUGUGCCACCAACCCCCAUACCGGUUACUUUUAGACGAAACCUACGCUCCCUUUCCCCCUCCCAUCUUUCCUCCGUUGUAUCCUCCUCUCUUCCCUCACCUACCCAUUUCUCAUCUCUGGAUGUGAAUGCAGCAACUGACACUUUAUGCUCUACUUUAACCUCUUGUCUAGAUGAUAUUUGUCCUCUCUCCUCCAGGCCAGCACGGGCUGCCCCCUCGAACUCCUGGUUAUCCGAUGUUCUUCGUGAACAUCGGACCAAACUCAGGGCAGCUGAGAGGAAAUGGUGCAAAUCAAAAGAUCCGUCAGACCUAAGUAUGUAUCAGUCUUUGCUUUCAUCUUUCUCUGCUGAAGUCCAUACUGCCAAAUCUUCAUACUUCCACAACAAGAUCAACAGCGCUCCAGACACACGUAAUCUCUUCAAAACUUUCCAUUCUCUCCUCUGUCCCCCUCCACCACCUCCUACCACUUCUAUAACAGCUGAUGAUUUUGCCACAUUCUUCACAGACAAAACCAGAACAAUCAGUAGCCAAUUCUCAGCCCCACACACACAGGACUUCAAACCAACCCCACCCACUCCAAAAACUCCCAUCUUCUCCUUCUGUCCCCUUACUGAGACAGAAGUAUCAAAACUUCUGCUCUCCAGCCAUCCUACAACAUGCCCUCUAGACCCAAUCCCCUCACACCUCCUCCAAGCAAUCUCUCCUACACUUUUACCAGCACUCACACACAUCAUCAAUACAUCUCUCCUCACAGGCACCUUCCCCACUGCAUUCAAGCAGGCUCGGAUAACCCCACUGCUCAAAAAACCUACAUUAAACACUUCACUUACAGAUAGCUACAUACCUGUCUCUCUCCUUCCAUUCAUAGCGAAAACCCUCGAAAGAGUUGUUUUCAACCAGAUAUCAUUGUUUCUUUCACAGAACAACAAACUGGAUCCUAACCAGUCAGGUUUCAGGAGUGGCCAUUCAACUGAGACUGCGCUACUGUCAGUCACAGAAGCCUUGCGGAUUGCAAAAGCUGAUUCCAAAUCAUCAGUCCUUAUUCUGCUGGAUCUUUCUGCUGCUUUUGACACUGUCAAUCAUCAGAUCCUCCUGUCUGCCCUCUCUUCAAUGGCAUCACAUGGAUUCCACUUCGCUGGUUUGAAUCCUAUCUCACUGGUAGGUCUUUCAGGGUGUCUUGGGGAGGGGAGGUAUCCAAAGCACAUCAACUUGUCACUGGGGUUCCUCAGGGAUCAGUUCUUGGACCCCUCCUCUUCUCCAUGUACACAACAUCACUGGGUCCCAUCAUACAAGCACAUGGCUUCUCCUACCAUUGCUAUGCUGAUGACACACAGCUCUAUCUCUCGUUUCAACCAGAUGAUCCAACGGUAGCUGCACGGAUCUCAGGCUGCCUGGCAGACAUCUCGGCAUGGAUGAAAGAAUAUCACUUACAGCUCAACCUGGCAAAGACUGAGCUUCUUGUCUUCCCUGCCACUCCAACUCUACAGUAUGAUUUUUCCAUCCAGCUAGGUUCUUCUACAAUUACCCCAUCAACUUCGGUCAGAAAUCUUGGUGUAACUUUUGAUAACCAGCUGACCUUCAAAGACCACAUUGCAAAGACCGCUCGAUCUUGCAGGUUUGCAUUGCACAACAUCAGAAAGAUCAGGUCCUUUCUAACGGAGCAUGCUGCACAACUUCUUGUCCAGGCCCUUGUCAUCUCUAGGCUGGACUACUGCAAUGCUCUUCUGGCUGGACUCCCAUCAAGCACAAUCAAACCUCUACAAAUGAUUCAGAAUGCAGCGGCACGACUGGUCUUCAACGAGCCCAAAAGAGCCCAUGUUACACCUCUCUUCAUCUCCUUGCACUGGCUACCGGUUGCGGCCCGAAUCAAGUUCAAGACAUUGAUGCUUGCAUAUAGAACAGCCACAGGCUCAGCACCCGCCUACUUCCACUCACUACUACGAAUUUACAUCCCCUCCAGAAGUCUGAGAUCCGCUAGUGAGCGACGCCUCGUGGUACCAUCACAGAGAGGCUCAAAAUCACUUUCCAGAACAUUCUCGUUCACCACUCCUGGCUGCUGGAACGAUCUUCCCACCCCUAUCCGGAAUGCUGAAUCCCUGACAAUUUUCAAGCGACAGCUGAAAAC
Molecule: long non-coding RNA, 2945 nt
Organism: Sinocyclocheilus grahami
Lineage: Eukaryota; Metazoa; Chordata; Actinopteri; Cypriniformes; Cyprinidae
Source: Ensembl